CCUACGGGUGGCAGCAGUGGGGAAUAUUGCACAAUGGGCGAAACCCUGAUGCAGCAACGCCGCGUGCGUGAAGAAGUAUUUCUGUAUGUAAAGCUCUAUCAGCAGGGAAGAAAAUGACAGUACCUGACUAAGCAUCCCCGUCUAAAUACGUGCCAGCAGCCGCGGUAACACGACGGGGGCAGGCGUUAUCCGGAUGUACUGGGUGUAAAGGGAGCGUAGACGGCUGCGCAAGUCAGAAGUGAAAGCCCGGGGCUCAACAGCGGGACUGCUUUUGAAACUGUAUAGCUAGCGUGCAGGAGAGGAGAGUGGAAUUUCUAGUGUAGCGGUGAAAUGCGCAGAUAUUAGGAGGAACACCGG
This 357-nucleotide ribosomal RNA is filed under the name uncultured bacterium. Its description in RNAcentral is "partial 16S ribosomal RNA". It matches the Rfam family "Bacterial small subunit ribosomal RNA", at positions 338 to 712 of the family's 1533-position model. The record is from RNAcentral.